Molecule: transfer RNA, 73 nt
Filed under: Candidatus Woesearchaeota archaeon
Lineage: Archaea; Nanobdellati; Candidatus Woesearchaeota
Description: tRNA-Leu
Rfam family: tRNA
About the family: Transfer RNA (tRNA) molecules are approximately 80 nucleotides in length.
Source: RNAcentral
GUGGCUGUAGUGUAACCUGGCAGCACUGGGGACUCAAUAUCCUCUAGUCUGGGUUCAAAUCCCAGCAGCCACC